CGGUGAAGCCCAGCUUGCUGGGUGGAUCAGUGGCGAACGGGUGAGUAACACGUGAGCAACCUGCCCUCCACUUCGGGAUAAGCCUUGGAAACGGGGUCUAAUACCGGAUAUGAGCUCGCAUCGCAUGGUGUGGGUUGGAAAGUUUUUCGGUGGGGGAUGGGCUCGCGGCCUAUCAGCUUGUUGGUGGGGUGAUGGCCUACCAAGGCGUCGACGGGUAGCCGGCCUGAGAGGGCGACCGGCCACACUGGGACUGAGACACGGCCCAGACUCCUACGGGAGGCAGCAGUGGGGAAUAUUGCACAAUGGGCGCAAGCCUGAUGCAGCGACGCCGCGUGAGGGAUGACGGCCUUCGGGUUGUAAACCUCUUUCAGCAGGGAAGAAGCGCAAGUGACGGUACCUGCAGAAGAAGCGCCGGCUAACUACGUGCCAGCAGCCGCGGUAAUACGUAGGGCGCAAGCGUUGUCCGGAAUUAUUGGGCGUAAAGAGCUCGUAGGCGGUCUGUCGCGUCUGGUGUGAAAUCCCGAGGCUCAACCUCGGGCUUGCAUCGGGUACGGGCAGACUAGAGUGCGGUAGGGGAGACUGGAAUUCCUGGUGUAGCGGUGGAAUGCGCAGAUAUCAGGAGGAACACCGAUGGCGAAGGCAGGUCUCUGGGCCGCAACUGACGCUGAGGAGCGAAAGCAUGGGGAGCGAACAGGAUUAGAUACCCUGGUAGUCCAUGCCGUAAACGUUGGGCACUAGGUGUGGGGCUCAUUCCACGAGUUCCGUGCCGCAGCUAACGCAUUAAGUGCCCCGCCUGGGGAGUACGGCCGCAAGGCUAAAACUCAAAGGAAUUGACGGGGGCCCGCACAAGCGGCGGAGCAUGCGGAUUAAUUCGAUGCAACGCGAAGAACCUUACCAAGGCUUGACAUGUACGAGAAAGCCCCCGAGACGGGGUUCUCUUUGGACACUCGUACACAGGUGGUGCAUGGUUGUCGUCAGCUCGUGUCGUGAGAUGUUGGGUUAAGUCCCGCAACGAGCGCAACCCUCGUCCUAUGUUGCCAGCGGGUUAUGCCGGGGACUCAUGGGGGACUGCCGGGGUCAACUCGGAGGGAGGUGGGGAUGACGUCAAAUCAUCAUGCCCCUUAUGUCUUGGGCUUCACGCAUGCUACAAUGGCCGGUACAGAGGGCUGCGAUACCGUAAGGUGGAGCGAAUCCCAAAAAGCCGGUCUCAGUUCGGA
This 1217-nucleotide ribosomal RNA is filed under the name uncultured bacterium. RNAcentral describes it as "bacterial SSU rRNA". It matches the Rfam family "Bacterial small subunit ribosomal RNA", at positions 67 to 1297 of the family's 1533-position model. The record is from RNAcentral.